AAAAACACUAAUGUAAUGUUACGUCUGGUGUCAAUAAUUGAAAUAAAACAUAAAGACAAUAAUAACAGCUCAAUUCUGCAGCGACAGCAGCCGUUGACCUGCCUGACUUAACCUGAACAAAAGCACAGAAAAAAAUCCAUGGUGGUGCAGCUGUCAUUCCCAACCUGAGGGAGUCGAGGGCUGAACCAGUGAGAUGGGAGAGAAAGAGAAAGGGAGAGAAAAUGAGCUGCUGUAAGUACUGAAAAAAGCACUAAAGUUUCAGAAUGUGUUUUUUUUUUUUGGAAGUACUCAGAUGUGGUCACUGAAAAGACACGAGAGCGGCGGGCCUGAGUGGCUGACAUUUAGGAAAAGGAAUCUGUGGCUCAGCAGUUACCGGCGGCGCUGAAGCUGUUGAAAGGGGCCACGGCAGCGCCUGCUAAUGCUACAUGAUCUAGGCUGGACUUACACCUAAAGCCCGGGCUCGCUGAAGGACACGCAUACGAGACACGGGCUUCAGCAAAUGAUUUGAGAUGAAGUAUUUUGCUCCAUGGAUCUUGUUACCUUAACUUGGA
Gasterosteus aculeatus aculeatus (three-spined stickleback) is the source of this 551-nucleotide long non-coding RNA. NCBI's taxonomy places the organism in Eukaryota, Metazoa, Chordata, Actinopteri, Perciformes, Gasterosteidae. The record is from Ensembl.